AUUUAAAUAGUUUAAAUUAUAAAACAUAAUAUUGAAGAUAUUAAGAAAACAUAAAGUUUUUAAAUA
This 66-nucleotide transfer RNA is filed under the name Graptopsaltria nigrofuscata. Its description in RNAcentral is "tRNA-Phe". The record is from RNAcentral. Lineage: Eukaryota; Metazoa; Arthropoda; Insecta; Hemiptera; Cicadidae.